Molecule: non-coding RNA, 93 nt
Organism: Morus notabilis
Lineage: Eukaryota; Viridiplantae; Streptophyta; Magnoliopsida; Rosales; Moraceae
Source: Rfam
UUUUGCAAUGAUGAUAAAUGUGUAUCCCAGCUCAUUAUGAGACCUUUUGUAGGUCUAGGAAAGAUUCAUUUCCACAUUUAUCUGAGCCUACAA